AGAUUUGGAGAGAAAACCUGGAUCAUAUACAGUUAGAUGGGACUGUGAGAGAUGGUUUUGAGGUUGAUCUUCAGGAAACAGCCAUUGUGGAGGAUUUUAAUAUUCUGUCACCUUUAUUCUGCGGUCAGCCGGAAUUCUGUAAUUGCCAGUGAAUGUGAGGGUGGUCAUGACGUGUUUGCCAAAGUCAAAGAGAACAGCCUGAUGGGAACAUUUAUUGCCAACCUCAGUUUUACAGCAGAUCCAUCAGCCCAUCGCAUGCAUUUAAGGCUUUCUGGAAAAGACGCUGGCUGGUUUUAUUUGGAGGGGAAAACCAUCAGACUGAAUUCAACAUCAACUAGGAUUAUUGACAGAGAGGUAACUAUAACUCAUGCUAACAUACUGUCAUCUUUUCCCUUGAUAUUGAAUACGUUAUUACAAUCAUCUGUGGGAAUUGCAGAAACACGGCUCAGUUUUAAAGGCGACUGUAAGGUGUUAUGAACAUAAAGUGCUACAGGUAUGUUCAAUCAUAUGUGAGACUUAACUGUACGAUUUACAUUUGUCAAUUAAAAGUAAUGUUGUUGUCAGGCUGAACUCAGAAUCAUGGUGGAGGUUCUGGAUGAAAAUGACAACAAACCAGAGUUCCUACAAAGCUCCACACAACCAGUGCAGCUCAGCGAGUUGACAGCAGUGAACUCUGUAGUGUUUACAGUCCAGGCCACAGAUGCUGAUGGAGACACACUCACAUACAUCAUUGAAGAAUCAUCAGUAGCCUGAUGCCAGAUAUUUUCGAGUGGACUUGCCCAACAGCGGCAAAGUGAUUCUCAACAAGUCACUGGACUAUGAGAUCAAAACGCAGCUCCGACUCACUCUUUAUGCU
Molecule: non-coding RNA, 856 nt
Organism: Danio rerio (zebrafish)
Lineage: Eukaryota; Metazoa; Chordata; Actinopteri; Cypriniformes; Danionidae
Source: Ensembl